GAAAUGCGAUAAGUAGUGUGAAUUGCAGAAUUCAGUGAAUCAUCGAAUCUUUGAACGCACAUUGCGCCCUUUGGUAUUCCAAAGGGCAUGCCUGUUCGAGCGUCAUUUGUACCCUCAAGCUUUGCUUGGUGUUGGGCGUCUUGUCUCUAGCUUUGCUGGAGACUCGCCUUAAAGUAAUUGGCAGCCGGCCUACUGGUUUCGGAGCGCAGCACAAGUCGCACUCUCUAUCAGCAAAGGUCUAGCAUCCAUUAAGCCUUUUUUUCAACUUUUGACCUCGGAUCAGGUAGGGAUACCCGCUGAACUUAA
RNAcentral lists this non-coding RNA (306 nucleotides) under fungal sp. RNAcentral describes it as "partial contains 5.8S ribosomal RNA, internal transcribed spacer 2, and large subunit ribosomal RNA". The stretch from base 1 to 105 matches the Rfam family "5.8S ribosomal RNA", at positions 50 to 154 of the family's 154-position model. Lineage: Eukaryota; Fungi. RNAcentral also lists the same sequence under 4 other names. The record is from RNAcentral.